GAUGAACGCUGGCGGCGUGCCUGAUACAUGCAAGUCGAGCGAACGGACGAGAAGCUUGCUUCUCUGAUGUUAGCGGCGGACGGGUGAGUAACACGUGGAUAACCUACCUAUAAGACUGGGAUAACUUCGGGAAACCGGAGCUAAUACCGGAUAAUAUUUUGAACCGCAUGGUUCAAAAGUGAAAGACGGUCUUGCUGUCACUUAUAGAUGGAUCCGCGCUGCAUUAGCUAGUUGGUAAGGUAACGGCUUACCAAGGCAACGAUGCAUAGCCGACCUGAGAGGGUGAUCGGCCACACUGGAACUGAGACACGGUCCAGACUCCUACGGGAGGCAGCAGUAGGGAAUCUUCCGCAAUGGGCGAAAGCCUGACGGAGCAACGCCGCGUGAGUGAUGAAGGUCUUCGGAUCGUAAAACUCUGUUAUUAGGGAAGAACAUAUGUGUAAGUAACUGUGCACAUCUUGACGGUACCUAAUCAGAAAGCCACGGCUAACUACGUGCCAGCAGCCGCGGUAAUACGUAGGUGGCAAGCGUUAUCCGGAAUUAUUGGGCGUAAAGCGCGCGUAGGCGGUUUUUUAAGUCUGAUGUGAAAGCCCACGGCCUCAACCGUGGAGGGUCAUUGGAAACUGGAAAACUUGAGUGCAGAAGAGGAAAGUGGAAUUCCAUGUGUAGCGGUGAAAUGCGCAGAGAUAUGGAGGAACACCAGUGGCGAAGGCGACUUUCUGGUCUGUAACUGACGCUGAUGUGCGAAAGCGUGGGGAUCAAACAGGAUUAGAUACCCUGGUAGUCCACGCCGUAAACGAUGAGUGCUAAGUGUUAGGGGGUUUCCGCCCCUUAGUGCUGCAGCUAACGCAUUAAGCACUCCGCCUGGGGAGUACGACCGCAAGGUUGAAACUCAAAGGAAUUGACGGGGACCCGCACAAGCGGUGGAGCAUGUGGUUUAAUUCGAAGCAACGCGAAGAACCUUACCAAAUCUUGACAUCCUUUGACAACUCUAGAGAUAGAGCCUUCCCCUUCGGGGGACAAAGUGACAGGUGGUGCAUGGUUGUCGUCAGCUCGUGUCGUGAGAUGUUGGGUUAAGUCCCGCAACGAGCGCAACCCUUAAGCUUAGUUGCCAUCAUUAAGUUGGGCACUCUAAGUUGACUGCCGGUGACAAACCGGAGGAAGGUGGGGAUGACGUCAAAUCAUCAUGCCCCUUAUGGUUUGGGCUACACACGUGCUACAAUGGACAAUACAAAGGGCAGCGAAACCGCGAGGUCAAGCAAAUCCCAUAAAGUUGUUCUCAGUUCGGAUUGUAGUCUGCAACUCGACUACAUGAAGCUGGAAUCGCUAGUAAUCGUAGAUCAGCAUGCUACGGUGAAUACGUUCCCGGGUCU
RNAcentral lists this ribosomal RNA (1373 nucleotides) under uncultured bacterium. RNAcentral describes it as "bacterial SSU rRNA". It matches the Rfam family "Bacterial small subunit ribosomal RNA", at positions 28 to 1381 of the family's 1533-position model. The record is from RNAcentral.